RNAcentral lists this non-coding RNA (31 nucleotides) under Homo sapiens (human). The record is from RNAcentral. Lineage: Eukaryota; Metazoa; Chordata; Mammalia; Primates; Hominidae.
UCCCAGUCUUGAGCAGCACUGUUUCUGCAGC